GAUGAACGCUGGCGGCGUGCCUAAUACAUGCAGGUCGAGCGAACGGACGAGAAGCUUGCUUCUCUGAUGUUAGCGGCGGACGGGUGAGUAACACGUGGAUAACCUACCUAUAAGACUGGGAUAACUUCGGGAAACCGGAGCUAAUACCGGAUGAUAUUUUGAACCGCAUGGUUCAAAAGUGAAAGACGGUCUUGCUGUCACUUAUAGAUGGAUCCGCGCUGCAUUAGCUAGUUGGUAAGGUAACGGCUUACCAAGGCAACGAUGCAUAGCCGACCUGAGAGGGUGAUCGGCCACACUGGAACUGAGACACGGUCCAGACUCCUACGGGAGGCAGCAGUAGGGAAUCUUCCGCAAUGGGCGAAAGCCUGACGGAGCAACGCCGCGUGAGUGAUGAAGGUCUUCGGAUCGUAAAACUCUGUUAUUAGGGAGGAACAUAUGUGUAAGUAACUGUGCACAUCUUGACGGUACCUAAUCAGAAAGCCACGGCUAACUACGUG
RNAcentral lists this ribosomal RNA (497 nucleotides) under uncultured bacterium. Its description in RNAcentral is "partial 16S ribosomal RNA". It matches the Rfam family "Bacterial small subunit ribosomal RNA", at positions 28 to 507 of the family's 1533-position model. The record is from RNAcentral.